Molecule: ribosomal RNA, 106 nt
Filed under: Pantoea agglomerans
Lineage: Bacteria; Pseudomonadati; Pseudomonadota; Gammaproteobacteria; Enterobacterales; Erwiniaceae
Description: partial 16S ribosomal RNA
Rfam family: Bacterial small subunit ribosomal RNA (bases 1-95)
Source: RNAcentral
CCUUCGGGAGGGCGCUUACCACUUUGUGAUUCAUGACUGGGGUGAAGUCGUAACAAGGUAACCGUAGGGGAACCUGCGGUUGGAUCACCUCCUUACCUGAAGAUAC